Molecule: RNA transcript, 1971 nt
Organism: Coffea eugenioides
Lineage: Eukaryota; Viridiplantae; Streptophyta; Magnoliopsida; Gentianales; Rubiaceae
Exons: 5
Source: RefSeq, a predicted model, not a curated record
UUCGGGAACAGCUCCGGAAGUAAAUUCCCAACUCUCCUUCCCUCGCCUUGCCAUUUUUUCUUCUGCAGCUGAUGACGUUAAAUUCGCAGAAUAAUAAUUGGAAAAAAGGAGAAAAAAAUGUAUUUUCCCGUGGGUGAUCCAUACUGGAGAUGUAGUGUUCCUCCUCAGCCUGAGGGAGGAAGCAGCCCAAAACAAAUCUUUGUUGGGUACUUGUCAUCUGAGGCAUCUAUGCUGAUGACUCCUCAUCUGUGGAGCUCUAAUGAUGGGAAGGGUAGUUCAGACUACUUGGGGAAAGAUGUAAGUUAUUGAAGUUUAUAGGCUUUGCCCUGUGUAAUCUUUGUAUAGUGAGUAAAGGGCAUCUGUUUUCGGUAAUUAGAUCCUACAGUCACAUCCAGGUGCAUAUGGCAUAGAUGUCAGGCAUAUUCAUCCUGAAACUGGUCUUGGUGGACUAACAAGUGGGACCAGCAUUAGAGGUUAUCCAUCUCCAUUGAGAGAUCCUAGUUCACUAGGCCAAAGACCAGAUGUUGCUUCUCAUCCGAGUCCCAGAAUCCAUGAUAACAUCUUUGAUAGGCCGAGUUCUUUGAGAAGGAUUAAUGGCCUUCCAGUUACGGAGGAGAAUCAAACAUUCUUUUUGUUGAUGGGCUUCCAACUGACUGUUCAAGAAGAGAAGUAGGCCAUCUUUUCCGUCCUUUUAUUGGCUUCAGAGAGCUUAGAGUUGUUCACAAGGAGCCCAGACAUGCAAAGUGGAGAUAAAGCCUGAGUGUUGUGCUUCAUUGAGUUUGCUGAUGCAAACUGUGCUCUUACGGCCAUGAAGCCCUUUAAGGUUAUAAAUUUGAUGACAAGAAGCCUGACUCCCUUUCUUAAGCAUCCAUUUUGCCACUUUUCCUUUCCGUUUACCAUCUGAUCAAGAUGAUCAACAGUCUGGAGGUUUACGGUGAUAUUGCAGAAGUUCUGAGGCGCUGAAAAGUCAGGGUAGCCCAAGUUAUGCAGCUCGCAAAUUCAGCAGUUUAGGUUCUGAAUUCUGGAGGUAGCUAUGUUACUAUAGCACGACAAACUUUGGUUUCAGUUCGAGCUCAAUCAGCCCUUUAGCUGUAAUUCCUGCUUUUAACCUCUUCCUCAAGACUGAACCAGCUACUCCAACUGCAAGGGGUCAUCAUGUGGAAAAGUAAAGUUUGAGAGAGCCAGACUGAUGUAGUACAACUUGGAUAAACUACACAUUACAACGAAGAAAUUUUUGUGCAUGUCUAUAUGCCGAGCCGGGACCUUGAUCAGCAGAAUUGUCUAUUACAAUUUUUGUGCAUUCCUACGUGUUUUUGUGUGUGGCAGAAUUGGAGCCGGGACCUUGAUCAGCAGUGAUUUUCCACCUUAAAGACAGCCCUUCUUUGUUGGUCCAGGUUGGUUUCAGCUCGCUCAUAAUUACUUCUUGUUGAAAAAAAUCGACUGCUGAACUGCUAAUGAAUAUGAAUUUCCUGUGAGCAUCAUCUAGACCGUGGUGUAAGAUGACAGGAGGCAAAUGAUGCAGCUGUGGAGUCUUUUUUUCAAAAAAAUAUUUUUUUUGGCGUGCAUGGAUCAUGCAGUUUUGCUGCCUUGACACUUUCUGUUGUAUCACCGGUCAAUAACCGUUUUUACGGCAUUUUGGUUCGGGACCUCGGGUUGUAACAUGGUAGUCUAGAGUAAACGAGGUAAUUUGCUGAUUGCUACUGGGUUACAAGUCGAGGAAUAUUAAUGAAACAAGAAAAAAUAUUUGUCAACCUGGACUGCAGCGAUCAAGGUGGGUUGGCUCAACCACCUCUGGGUUUUUUUGCAGCAUUUAAAAUCCUAUUGACUUUUGACAGAGGAAAGAUGACUUCCUGAAGAGUGGCAUGAUUAUCAAUAAUGUUGACUUGUGAUUAAUGUAUGUGUGGUUGGGAGUCAGUACUGACUUGAUCUGAUAUAUACUAAAACUCAGUGGUAGCGUGUUAUUUUAAUCUG